UCCCCUAAGACUACAAAAUUAACUUUUAGUGUAAAAAACAAAUUAUAACUAAACCCAAUCUAGCCAUAAAUAAACUAUUCCAACAAACCAUAACCUCAGAACUCGGAUUAGAUACCCGACUACUGUAUGGCCCAACACAUAAAAGAAUACUACGAGCGAAAGCUUAAAACUCAAACAAUGUGGCGGUGCUUUACUCCUCAUCAGGGGAUCCUGUGGCUUAAUUCGAUAAUCCACGAAGAUCUUAGCUACUCUUGUUUACAGCUUGUGUAUGGCCGUUUAUGCUUGCUCAUAGAAGAAAAAAAAGGAAGCAAUAGGACUAAUUACCCAAAAAUUCAGGUGACAUACAGCCAAUGAGUAGCAGAUCCAUGGGAUACAAAUAAACAUACUACCAGAUUUUAAAACCUAAAACUUUAAUGAAGGAGGACUUGAAAGUAAGAUUUAUCCUUAUAUAAUAUAGAUCUGGACAAGAACUAAAGCGCGCACAAAUCGCCCGUCACUCCGACAAUAAAGUCGGAUAAGUCGUAACAUAGUAGGGGUAAUGGAAAUUGCCCCUAUCACA
Molecule: ribosomal RNA, 559 nt
Filed under: Anodonta anatina
Lineage: Eukaryota; Metazoa; Mollusca; Bivalvia; Unionida; Unionidae
Description: partial 12S ribosomal RNA
Source: RNAcentral